Molecule: microRNA, 22 nt
Filed under: Haemonchus contortus (barber pole worm)
Lineage: Eukaryota; Metazoa; Nematoda; Chromadorea; Rhabditida; Trichostrongylidae
Description: hco-miR-5943
Source: miRBase by way of RNAcentral
CGUCGGAGCGUCCCGCUGAGGC